AAGGGAGACCUAAUUCGGGUAUAAGACGAAAAAAGAGUAGUCGAAACCAAGAAUCAAUCCCAAAAGGUCGGAACGAGGUAUGUGGCUUUCAAACUAGGUUCUGGGUUCACACAAGACCUGAAUCAGGAACAAGGGCUAUUAGCUCAGGUGGUUAGAGCGCACCCCUGACAAGGGUGAGGUCCCUGGUUCGAGUCCAGGAUGGCCCACCUGCACAGGUGGCAAAAACAAAGAAGCGAGGAAUCAGCACCUUAUCUUAUCUAUAUAUAAGAGAGAAUGCUGGCUCUGAGUAAAGAGUCCAGAGGAACCUUGAAAACUGCAUAGAGCUAGGUGAAAAAGCCAAAAAAGAAGACCGCAA
This 355-nucleotide transfer RNA is filed under the name uncultured Microcystis sp. Its description in RNAcentral is "partial 16S-23S ribosomal RNA intergenic spacer". The stretch from base 133 to 206 matches the Rfam family "tRNA". The record is from RNAcentral. Lineage: Bacteria; Bacillati; Cyanobacteriota; Cyanophyceae; Chroococcales; Microcystaceae.